UGCUUUCUCUUUCCCACGAAGCAACCUUUUCCUCGCUCCUCGUACGCAACAUCCCUGACGAAACCGCCGCCUCCGCCUCCUCCAUGUAACCGGCCGCACGAGCGUCGCCAGCACAAGUGGAACUGGCUCGGCUCUCUUACGCAGUCACACCAACGUCGUCGUCUCGAGGGAGGAGUGGGUGGGACCGUGGGAGGAGAAGGCGGCGGCGGCGGUUUUGAUCUUCGUGCUCUGCCUCCGCGUGUGAGGCAGCGGAUCGAUCCGGCCGAACUAGCUGCUAGAAGGAUGGGUCGCCAUCGUCCCCAACCCCAUGGCUCACCACCCGCCUCAGCUCACUCUCUGUCGCCGCCGACCGCAUGAUCUGGUCUGCGCGCGGGGAGGAGUUGUGCUUGCCACCGGGACAGACGGAUCCAGGCUUCCGUCGAGCUCACGCGUCACCAUCGCCGCCAGGAGGCACAAACGGAUGAAGACGUCGAGCGCCACCAUCCGCGCCGCUUCUUCUCAACGCCUCUCUUGCGUGUGCGCAGCUUUGAAAGGAGGUGACUAGGUUGGAGCGGACUAUGACAAGGCAUACGAGGGGUUGGAGCAGGACUGCAAGACCAGGUGAGGACAAGCGUUGUUUCAUAUCCACCUAAAUCAUCCCAUGGUUUGCAAGGUCUGCUUCUAUGCAAAAAGUUCUUCCAGUGAGCACCCUAGCCAAUUAAUUACAGUUAAUCCUUUAUGUCUGAUUUAUUAUUAGUUGAUUACUUGCUUCUAUGCGGUGAAUAAAUGAGUAAGAAGUUUUAGUUGAUAGAGGCAUAGCCUUCCUGAAUAUCUUAAUUCUAACACUGGUUUCAUGCAAUUUUGGAACUGGAUAGUUAUUCAGUCUGAUUUGUUCGUGCAGUCCAUGGUAUCCCAUCUGCAAGCUACACCUUGUGCAGAUUUGGCUACCACAUAAUGUGGUGGUGUUUCACUUCGCUCAGUCAAGGUUUCAGUCAAAAUUUGAAUUAAACAUUUUCUUCCAAUACAGAAUGUGUUGAUUUGUCUUCUCACAAAAAAAAAAAAGAUUGUGUUAAUUGUCCUAACCUUUAUGUUAUGGAAAUAUUCUCAUCACAUGUUUACUGGUUCUAUUGGGCAUGCAGUGUAAAAACUGUCCCCAUCAUUAAUCUUUUGAGAAAUGUAUGUCACACGAGUCAUCAGCCACACUAACAUAAUUAAAUUCUUUGACCUUGUGUAGUCUACGUUCAAGAAGACGCUUCCAGAACAAAGGAAAAUGAUGAAUGGCAAAUUUAUACUGAUACUUCUCUGGGCAAAUGGUCUUUCCCCCUGAAGUGAUAAUACAAGCUGAUAAUCUGAUGUUAAACUGAUGGUUGUAUUAUUUGUAGCAAUUCUUCAAAUUUUGAUGUUUAUGUGUUUGUUUGGACGCGCAGGUGCAAAUGAUUUUAGCUAUUAGGUUUAGAUUGUAGGUAUUGUUGGAAAAUAAUUCUUGGGUAUGUCUAUAUGCCUGUAUGUACGUUCUCAUUUGAAACAAAUAUACUUCAUUACCUAUUAUUUUUCCUCCUAUUUAAAGAUCACAAUGCAUGUCUCCAUCCGAUUAUUCCCUCCUUCAUUAACUUGAAGUAUUGCUAACUAGAUUUUGUGUGUGCAGGAGGUUAGCCGCCUUAUGAUCAAACCUGGCUCUGUUCAACAGUGUCCGGUAUGCACUUCUUGGCUUCUCUCUGUUUCUAUAUCUGUUUUUUUUGUUGUUUCAAUUCAGAUCAAACCAAUAGCCUUUGCAUACAAGUUGGAGAGGUUAUUUCUCGCGUGGAGGUCUUUUCCCUUAAGGCACUACAUUUUUUCAGUGCCCCAAGCACUUUCCUCAUGUUUGCGGGUUGUGACCAGGAAAUUUUACACCACCGAGAUUAUGAUUAGGGCAGAGCAGCAUCCGGUGGCAAGGUUGGAAAAGAGAAGGAGAGAGAUCCGUGAUUGGGUAAUGACCCGCUGUGGUUGUGGCCAAGGAGCCAGCUCGGAUUUGUUUGCCGGUGCGUGUGUCGGUUGAUUUGGCCGAGAAAGAUGCGGCGGGCAAAGCAGCAGGGAAGAGGAUCUGCCGCUUGACCUUCCCGGCUCGAUCUGAUCCUUAGGAGAGAAGGCAUAGGAGGGAAGGGAAGAUGGAUGAGGUUGUUUUGGCAGGGAUGAAAAGGUGUGAAAAAAGGAUUUCUUCUCUACUAAGAGGUGCACCGACACAACCAGCGCCCACACACGCGCAGCAGCAGCUGAUGAUACUCGGGACACCAAUUGUAAAUGGCCCAUGUGCAGCCAUCUCACAACUCGCAGGAAGCAGGAUAUUGGGCCUUGGUGAUCUAGGGGUGCAAAGUAUUGACAUUGCUAUAGGGAAGCUGGAUUUAUAUGUUGCUGCUACUGGAAUAAAUCCUCAGAAGGUAUGCUUUUGUUGUUCCUAAGGAAACUGUUAGACUUACCUUGUUCUCCAUCUUCCAUUUUUUACAUCUAUAUUUUCAUAUUUGACAUCUCUAAUUUCAAAUAACUAUAAUUUGGUAUUUGACCUACAUGGAUUUUAUUGACAAACAAAAAAUAAAGUUUUGCUACUUAAUCUGAUUGUGCCAAUCAACCUUUUCUCAUAAUAAUUCAGGGAGAUAAAAGUUCUUUUAGAAUGUUACCACUGAACCCAGAUAAUGAUGUUUGCCAAACUGAAGCUUCAAAUACGAGACAAUGAUCACGUUUGUGUUGCGUAACCUUACAACGCUGAUUUCUUAGAUGUUAUGAAGUUUCAAAGUGUUCUACUGCUACCUACUCACUUUGUUUCUUUUGUAUAAGGCAUAUUUUGAUUUGUUGAAAUAAUGCUUUAAAUAAUAAAUACUCUAUCAAUAGGUGGUGCAUGUGAAUAAGUUAAUAUUGGAUUCAUUUCUUUGGGGAGCUAAGCCAUGUAUUUGGAAUUUCAGUAACGGAGUUAGUUUGUGUAAAAUAGAUAAAUGUCUGCUAGCUUCUUAGGCAUUUAAAAAAAAACGAAUCCCUUGCUACAUAUACCAGGGUGUUUAUAUCCAGGUACAGCCUUGGCUUUGUUUGUAAAGAAGCAAGUAGACAUUCUACUUUUGUGUAAGCUGAAUAUAUGCUUAUCGGUUUCCAUCUAAUGGCAGCUCUCUCUCCCUUUUCCAUUUAUCUAUUUUUGUAGAUGGUAGAGCAACCUUAUUAUACAUACACACUGAAAUUGAUUCUGUUGAAAGCUUAUUCACAUUUUCUUUCGUUCUUA
Long non-coding RNA from Triticum dicoccoides, 3220 nucleotides. RefSeq lists it as uncharacterized. Lineage: Eukaryota; Viridiplantae; Streptophyta; Magnoliopsida; Poales; Poaceae. The record is from RefSeq and is a predicted model, not a curated record. The transcript is spliced from 2 exons.